Molecule: ribosomal RNA, 216 nt
Filed under: uncultured bacterium
Lineage: Bacteria
Description: partial 16S ribosomal RNA
Rfam family: Bacterial small subunit ribosomal RNA
Source: RNAcentral
UGGGAACGUGCCCUUCAGUUCGGAACAACCCAGGGAAACUUGGGCUAAUACCGGAUACGUCCGUAAGGAGAAAGAUUUAUCGCUGAAGGAUCGGCCCGCGUCUGAUUAGCUAGUUGGUGAGGUAACGGCUCACCAAGGCGACGACGGGUAGCUGGUCUGAGAGGGUGACCGGCCACACUGGGACUGAGACACGGCCCAGACUCCUACGGGAGGCAG